CUUAUCAGAUUCCGAUCGUUCUGUUUUGUAACCUCGAUUCGUUUCUCAAUUUUCGACUAGUUGUAUAAAGUAUAUCUUUAAAAGAGAAGAUAAUAACAGCCUUGGUUAUACUAAUUAGGAGCAAUAAAUAUUUAUGUUGAAUAUUUCUCGAUCUCCUUCUGCAACGUAGGUUGCUGCAAUUGACAAAAUGGUGACCGUAAUUUGGCGACAUCUAAAGCAACGUUCGCGAAGUCGUGGCACAGAUAACUGUUGGCAUAGUAGGGCAUGGAAACUUCGUUACCUACAGAAAAUCUGUUUCACUGAAAUUGAUUCGAAAGUAACAGGACAAUUGGACAUCGUGUUUGCAAGUAUAAUUUUAGUAAAAAUAUCGUGAAAAUCAAGAAACAUGAUCUAGACUCAACGUUUCCCAAAGUCGCACAAAGUUAGUUAACCUCAAACGGACUGCAUGCAAAUGGUGAACGGUGUGCGUCACGACGUACAAAAACCUAAUUCCAAAUUUUAUGACUACAUAAAAGUUUCACUACCAUUUCCUCGAAUGGAAACGUGACCAUGGAUCACUGCGUGGUAUAAAUGCUUGCUUUACAAUCGAAGAAAUUUCUUCCGGUCCACGUUCUCCAAGAAAUAACUUUUCCCGCCAAUUGUGCCUCCCGGAAGAGAUCUGAUUGCAAUUUCUAACCGGCCCCGUAGGAGGAAGAUCGAGUUUUACAACUCGCUUCCGUGAACGAUGACCUACCUGUACGAGGAAAACUCUCGGACAAGGUGCCUCGGGAUGGUGAAAUUCCUUGCUACGCGUAAUCGUCGCGUACCUGACGGGUUUCGUGAUUCAUUGCGCAUCGCGUGGGUGCCCAGUAUUUGAAUAAGUUGAUUCCUCCCGCGCGGAUGACUCGCGGACGAUUUUCUGAUUGUCCGUUCGCAAUUCCGGCGUUUGACGGCGAGAUAAGUUUAAUCCGCAACAAUGGAAAAUUUUUCUCAUGUACAGAGUGAUCCAUGUGAAAUGGGCGAAUGUUGCAGGCAGGAAGCAGGAUCACUAAGGGCAAAGAAUGCUCGUUACUUGCGGAAAAGGCAUUUCUUUUGGAGGAAAGAGUCAUUUCCAAAGUUAAAAAUUUCAAAAUCAUUAAUAUGAUUUUAGAUGCAAUGUCCUCUAAGAAUACGGUCAUCGUAAUAGAAUAAUUACGAGUAAUUCUCGUGGACGGAUGACAGAACUGCGAAAUCCAACCGGCGGAUUGACGUUAAACGUUGCCGGAUAAUUGAUGACCGGUGGUUACGAUCCUACCGAACGUUGGAUUCCUCAUACGAUGGCGUCAGAUGGUCAUCUUUGACGAUUUAGGAAUCAGAAGACAGAAGAUCUACAAUAUAGAUAGAAGAAUUGUAUACAGUUGGAUCAUAUAAUUUUCUGAAAAAUUAUACAGGCAUCUUAUGCAAAACCGGGAGCCGAUAACAAGUUACUGACGGCAUACGAUUAAUGAUACACGGAACCAGUCCACAAUGGAUCAGCGAUAAGAUUGCGUUAACGCAAGUAGCUCUUGCGGGCACAAUUCGAGCUUUCUAAACAUAAUCGCCGCUGGCUGGUAGACAGUUCGCUCGAUUUCCUCCUCUUCUUGUUCGCGGUUUCUUCUGCGUCGCCGUCUGCCACGUUCGCGCUGUAAUAUUGUAUUUCGUUCGCGUCAGCGCCAGCUGACGGAAAAAGAUAAUGGGGCGGCAGCGAUGCGGCGUAUCUCCGGAUCGCAAGCGACAGAUCUCGCCGCGCAGAUGAUUCAUUCAGCGCAAUGAUAAUCCGAUUCAUGCGUUCCACCGCUCUAACUGGUUUCAAUGGAAUUCCAGUUUUAACCUUUUGAUCGCCGUGCAUAUGCUUGCCUCUGCCUUAUACGUGCACGAAAUCAAGUUCGAUUAACCCUGAAAUGGCUAAGCAGUUUGUCUACGUAAUAAUUCCUUUUCUUGAGAUAGCUGAAAAGCACGUUCGAGUAAUAAAUAAGCUGGGGAAGCUAUCCCCUAAGCCAAAGGUUUCUCAAAUAGUUCAAAGAAGAUGCGUCUACAUUCUGGGACUUUCCAGAAAUAUUUCAAACGGGAAAACUUUUGUACAAAUUCACUCCUUGAAUGUACAUGGAAAUAACGCAAUUUAGAAGGAUCUUGUAAUAUCUUUUUUUAACGCUCGUUUCCUAUUACCGUCAGAGAUUCUUCUCGGAACAGCGGGCAUUGAAAGGCUCUGUUCCCACAGAAUCCGUAGGUACAGUUUUUUCCUGUUCGUUUUCUGCUGAUGUCUAACUCUUGCAGCAUCAAUCACCUGUCAAUCGAUGAAAAGUUUCUGAUUUAUGCAGAGUGUCUGCUUGAAAACGGACACCCGUAUCGUCAUGCUAAUAUCGGAAACAGCUAGGGGCUCUAAAGGAGUUUUCGUACAUGAUUGUGUCACGAAUUAUCUCACAAUCUCUGAUAAUAAAUAUUCAGUGUUUCCCGAUCGUUAGGUAAAUUAGUCACGACAAUGGCGUCCUCCGCUGGAACAUUAAAAGAAGCUUGAAUUACAAUAGAGGAAAAAAAACACUUGCAAUCGAUCAUUCAUAUAACAUAGUGGCUCAACACUACUCGAUGUCUACGGUUCAGUGGUUUCUCGAUGCGAGAUUCGAGAAUACAAGCCGGACACUAUAUUAGAAUCAAGCACGCUAGUAAUGGAUCCGAGCACUUUGCGAGCAACGCAAUCACGAGCAUUUAGGAGCACUGCUAAUUGCGCUUACAGAAGCAUUGAAUCGUAGCAGAGCAUGUUCGAACUCUUUGUGAAAUUUCCACUUUCCUUUCUCGGAUUUAUCUCGGCGCAAAAACCUCCGUGAUUUAACGAUUGUCUGUUGCAGAUACCCAGAAGCCAUUAUUAUGUUUUCGUUAAGAUCGUUAGUGCAUUGCUAUUUAGCAAUCUUAUGUACGUGAUGUUGUACAAUCAAAUAAAGCGAGAUAAAUCUUGUAUAUUGAUUCGAA
Megalopta genalis is the source of this 2961-nucleotide non-coding RNA. The record is from RefSeq and is a predicted model, not a curated record. Lineage: Eukaryota; Metazoa; Arthropoda; Insecta; Hymenoptera; Halictidae.